Molecule: long non-coding RNA, 946 nt
Filed under: Pan troglodytes (chimpanzee)
Lineage: Eukaryota; Metazoa; Chordata; Mammalia; Primates; Hominidae
Description: long non-coding RNA NONPTRT004756
Source: RNAcentral
UGAGCCCCUUGAGGCGUUUAUCCAGCACUGUUUCGGACAAAUCUCUAUUUCAAUCUAUUCCUAUAUGUUAGUUAUUGAAAAACAAUAGACAAUCACAAAAACAAGUUGACAUUUUUGUGUUCCUUAAGCCUAGUCAUGAAGGGCCCUCGUGACUGGGCCUCAUGCCAAACAACUUGUUACAAAAAGAGCUAGGGUCGCAGACUGCGCCGAAGCUUCAUGAGACUGAUCCUCGUCUGUGGACAGAGGAGUAGCUGACUCUGAAGCCCAGGCUGUUGCUAUCCAGUCUGGUGGUGAAUCCUCCACAGUCUGUUUAGAGCAAUUGGACGAAGUAUAUUUUUGUGAGCAAAUUUACCUUUCUCUCUGAAUUCUCCAAAAUUCAGAAACCCCUUCCUAUAUGUUAUGGGUUGAAUUUUGUCCACUCCAAAAUAUGUUGAUGUCUUAACCUCCAGUACACAAAUUGUGAUCCUAUUUAUAAAUAAAGACAUCAUCAAUGUAAUUAGUGAAGAUGAGAUCAUACUGAAGAAUGAUGGAUCCCUAAUCCAAUAUGACUUGUGUCCCUGUAAGAAGAGAGAAAUUUGGACAGAGACACUUGAGAGGAGAAUGUCAUGAAACUAAAGAAGAAGAAAUUGAAGUGCUAUUGCUGCAAGUCAAAAAACAUCAACAAUUGGCAAAUACCACAAGAAACUAGUAGAGGAAAAUAUGUAUUCUUUCCUACAGGUUUCAGAGAGAGCAUGGACCUACCUACACCUUGAAUGUUGACUUCGUCAUUGCAGAACUGUGAGCGAACAACUCUGUUGUUUUCAGCAACCCAGUUUGUGGUACUUUGCUCUGGCAUCCCUAUGGAGCUAAUGCACUGAUAUCAUAUAGCUGGGUCAUUUUGUUUUAUCCACUGUACUAAUCUCUAUCUUUUAAAUAAUGUAUUUAGACCAUUUAUAUUUAGUGUAUU